GUUGCCCAACAAAAGCCAGUAGGUGUUUCAUGCACCACAGCAAACUCUACUGAGUAUGAAAUGACUAUGCUCUGCGUGAUGGAGUUAAAGUAGACUAGAGCGGACAGACAAACCGGGAAGAUCACCUGUAAAGGAAACUGAUCAUUCCCAUGAUGGAAGCAGAUGAAUGCGUAAGUGUUUGACUGUCCCAGGAAGACGUAAGAAGGAGACCUCAAGGCACAAAUUAUUUAACGAACACGAAGAUAAUGCAACAUCACAGACGCUGAACUCCAGGGAGCAGCAGAAAGCCGCAGUGUCCUG
This 300-nucleotide long non-coding RNA is filed under the name Chinchilla lanigera (long-tailed chinchilla). RNAcentral's name for it is "lncRNA (ENSCLAG00000024578.1)". The record is from RNAcentral. Lineage: Eukaryota; Metazoa; Chordata; Mammalia; Rodentia; Chinchillidae.